AGUGAACGCUGGCGGUAGGCCUAACACAUGCAAGUCGAACGGCAGCACAGUAAGAGCUUGCUCUUACGGGUGGCGAGUGGCGGACGGGUGAGGAAUACAUCGGAAUCUACUUUUUCGUGGGGGAUAACGUAGGAAAACUUACGCUAAUACCGCAUACGACCUACGGGUGAAAGUAGGGGAUCUUCGGACCUUGCGCGAUUGAAUGAGCCGAUGUCGGAUUAGCUAGUUGGCGGGGUAAAGGCCCACCAAGGCGACGAUCCGUAGCUGGUCUGAGAGGAUGAUCAGCCACACUGGAACUGAGACACGGUCCAGACUCCUACGGGAGGCAGCAGUGGGGAAUAUUGGACAAUGGGCGCAAGCCUGAUCCAGCCAUACCGCGUGGGUGAAGAAGGCCUUCGGGUUGUAAAGCCCUUUUGUUGGGAAAGAAAAGCAGCAGGUUAAUACCCCGCUGUUCUGACGGUACCCAAAGAAUAAGCACCGGCUAACUUCGUG
Molecule: ribosomal RNA, 492 nt
Filed under: uncultured bacterium
Lineage: Bacteria
Description: partial 16S ribosomal RNA
Rfam family: Bacterial small subunit ribosomal RNA
Source: RNAcentral